GUGAACGCUGGCGGUAGGCCUAACACAUGCAAGUCGAACGGCAGCACAGUAAGAGCUUGCUCUUACGGGUGGCGAGUGGCGGACGGGUGAGGAAUACAUCGGAAUCUACUUUUUCGUGGGGGAUAACGUAGGGAAACUUACGCUAAUACCGCAUACGACCUACGGGUGAAAGCAGGGGAUCUUCGGACCUUGCUCGAUUGAAUGAGCCGAUGUCGGAUUAGCUAGUUGGCGGGGUAAAGGCCCACCAAGGCGACGAUCCGUAGCUGGUCUGAGAGGAUGAUCAGCCACACUGGAACUGAGACACGGUCCAGACUCCUACGGGAGGCAGCAGUGGGGAAUAUUGGACAAUGGGCGCAAGCCUGAUCCAGCCAUACCGCGUGGGUGAAGAAGGCCUUCGGGUUGUAAAGCCCUUUUGUUGGGAAAGAAAAGCAGCAGGUUAAUACCCCGCUGUUCUGACGGUACCCAAAGAAUAAGCACCGGCUAACUUCGUG
This 491-nucleotide ribosomal RNA is filed under the name uncultured bacterium. RNAcentral's name for it is "partial 16S ribosomal RNA". It matches the Rfam family "Bacterial small subunit ribosomal RNA", at positions 29 to 507 of the family's 1533-position model. The record is from RNAcentral.